This 496-nucleotide ribosomal RNA is filed under the name uncultured bacterium. Its description in RNAcentral is "partial 16S ribosomal RNA". It matches the Rfam family "Bacterial small subunit ribosomal RNA", at positions 29 to 507 of the family's 1533-position model. The record is from RNAcentral.
AUGAACGCUGGCGGCGUGCCUAAUACAUGCAAGUCGAGCGAACAGACGAGGAGCUUGCUCCUUUGACGUUAGCGGCGGACGGGUGAGUAACACGUAGGUAACCUACCUAUAAGACUGGGAUAACUUCGGGAAACCGGAGCUAAUACCGGAUAAUAUUUCGAACCGCAUGGUUCGAUAGUGAAAGAUGGCUUUGCUAUCACUUAUAGAUGGACCUGCGCCGUAUUAGCUAGUUGGUAAGGUAACGGCUUACCAAGGCAACGAUACGUAGCCGACCUGAGAGGGAGGAUGGGCAGACUGGAACUGAGACACGGCCCAGACUCCUACGGGAGGAAGCAGUAGGGAAUCUUCCGCAAUGGGGGAAAGCCUGACGGAGCAACGCCGCGUGAGUGAUGAAGGUCUACGGAUCGUAAAACUCUGUUAGUAGGGAAGAACAAAAGUGUAAGUAACUGUGCACGUAUUGACGGUACCUAAUCAGAAAGCCACGGCUAACUACGUG